Molecule: ribosomal RNA, 422 nt
Filed under: uncultured Clostridium sp.
Lineage: Bacteria; Bacillati; Bacillota; Clostridia; Eubacteriales; Clostridiaceae
Description: bacterial SSU rRNA
Rfam family: Bacterial small subunit ribosomal RNA
Source: RNAcentral
UGGGGAAUAUUGCACAAUGGAGGAAACUCUGAUGCAGCGACGCCGCGUGAGUGAAGGAGUAAUUCGUUAUGUAAAGCUCUAUCAGCAGGGAAGAUAGUGACGGUACCUGACUAAGAAGCACCGGCUAAAUACGUGCCAGCAGCCGCGGUAAUACGUAUGGUGCAAGCGUUAUCCGGAUUUACUGGGUGUAAAGGGAGCGUAGACGGUUUUGUAAGUCUGAUGUGAAAACCCGGGGCUCAACCCCGGGACUGCAUUGGAAACUAUAGGACUAGAGUGUCGGAGAGGUAAGCGGAAUUCCUAGUGUAGCGGUGAAAUGCGUAGAUAUUAGGAGGAACACCAGUGGCGAAGGCGGCUUACUGGACGAUAACUGACGUUGAGGCUCGAAAGCGUGGGGAGCAAACAGGAUUAGAUACCCUGGUAGU